Molecule: ribosomal RNA, 497 nt
Filed under: uncultured bacterium
Lineage: Bacteria
Description: partial 16S ribosomal RNA
Rfam family: Bacterial small subunit ribosomal RNA
Source: RNAcentral
GAUGAACGCUGGCGGCGUGCUUAAUACAUGCAAGUCGAGCGAACAGAUGAGGAGCUUGCUCCUCUGACGUUAGCGGCGGACGGGUGAGUCACACGUGUAUAACCUACCUAUAUGACUGGGAUAACUUCGGGAAACCGGAGCUAAUAGCGGAUAAUAUAUUGAACCGCAUGGUUCAAUAGUGAAAGACGGCUUUGCUGUCUCUUCUCGAUGCAUCCGCGCUGCAUUAGCUAGUUGGUAAGGUAACGGCAUACCAAGGCAACGAUGCGUAGGCGACCUGACAGGGUGGUCGGCCACACUGGAACUGGGACGGGGUCCAGACUCCUACGGGAGGCAGCAGUAGGGAAUCGGCGGCAAUGGGCGGAAACAUGACAGAGCAACGCCGCGUGAGUGGUGAAAGUCUUCGGAUCGGAAAACUCUGUUAUUAGGGAAGAACAAAUGUGGAAGUAACUAUGCACGUAUUGACGGUACCGAAUCAGAAAGCCACGGCUAACUACGUG